RNAcentral lists this ribosomal RNA (253 nucleotides) under uncultured bacterium. RNAcentral describes it as "partial 16S ribosomal RNA". It matches the Rfam family "Bacterial small subunit ribosomal RNA", at positions 524 to 776 of the family's 1533-position model. The record is from RNAcentral.
UACAGAGGGUGCAAGCGUUAAUCGGAAUUACUGGGCGUAAAGGGCGCGUAGGUGGCCAACUAAGCCAGACGUGAAAUCCCUCAGCUUAACUGGGGAACUGCGUCUGGGACUGGAUGGCUUGAGUGCAGGAGAGGAACGCGGAAUUCCAGGUGUAGCGGUGAAAUGCGUAGAUAUCUGGAGGAACACCGGUGGCGAAGGCGGCGUUCUGGACUGCAACUGACACUGAGGAACGAAAGCCAGGGGAGCAAACGGG